GACGAACGCUGGCGGCGUGCUUAACACAUGCAAGUCGAACGGAAAGGCCCUGCUUUUGUGGGGUGCUCGAGUGGCGAACGGGUGAGUAACACGUGAGUAACCUGCCCUUGACUUUGGGAUAACUUCAGGAAACUGGGGCUAAUACCGGAUAGGAGCUCCUGCUGCAUGGUGGGGGUUGGAAAGUUUCGGCGGUUGGGGAUGGACUCGCGGCUUAUCAGCUUGUUGGUGGGGUAGUGGCUUACCAAGGCUUUGACGGGUAGCCGGCCUGAGAGGGUGACCGGCCACAAUGGGACUGAGAUACGGCCCAGACGCCUACGGGGGGCAGCAGUGGGGAAUAUUGCCCAAUGGGCGGAAGCCUGAUGCAACAACGCCGCGUGCGGGAUGACGGCCUUCGGGUUGUAAACCGCUUUCGCCUGUGACGAAGCGGGAGUGACGGUAAUGGGUAAAGAAGCACCGGCUAACUACGUG
RNAcentral lists this ribosomal RNA (468 nucleotides) under uncultured bacterium. Its description in RNAcentral is "partial 16S ribosomal RNA". It matches the Rfam family "Bacterial small subunit ribosomal RNA", at positions 28 to 507 of the family's 1533-position model. The record is from RNAcentral.